AUGCAAUGAUGAGGGCAUUUUUGUAACAACUCCUUGAACCUCUCCCAUUCCUUAUACAAAGAUUCUUCUUCUAGUUGCUGAAAAUAAGUGAUCUCAUUACGGAGCUU
This is a small nucleolar RNA of Humulus lupulus (European hop), 107 nucleotides long. The record is from RefSeq and is a predicted model, not a curated record. Lineage: Eukaryota; Viridiplantae; Streptophyta; Magnoliopsida; Rosales; Cannabaceae.